GCCACGUGCGGUGGUGUGUGCCUGUAGUCCCAGCUACUCGGGAGGCUGAGGCUGGAGGAUCGCUUGAGCCCAGGAGUUCUGGGCUGCAGUGCGCUAUGCCUAUCGGGUGUCCACACGAAGUUCGGCAUCAAUAUGGUGACCUCCCGGGAGUGGGGGACCACCAGGUUGCCUAAGAAGGGGUGAACCAGCCCAGGUCAGAAAGAGAGCAGGUCAAAACUCUUGUGCUGAUCAGUAGUGGGGUUGCACCUGUGAAUAGCCACUGCACUCCAGCCUGGGCAACAUAGCGAGACCCUGUCUCU
Cebus imitator (Panamanian white-faced capuchin) is the source of this 299-nucleotide unclassified non-coding RNA. It matches the Rfam family "Metazoan signal recognition particle RNA". Rfam says of the family: The signal recognition particle (SRP) is a universally conserved ribonucleoprotein. It is involved in the co-translational targeting of proteins to membranes. NCBI's taxonomy places the organism in Eukaryota, Metazoa, Chordata, Mammalia, Primates, Cebidae. The record is from Ensembl.